UUUUGGACAAUGGGGGCAACCCUGAUCCAGCAAUGCCGCGUGAGUGAAGAAGGCCUUCGGGUUGUAAAGCUCUUUUGUCAGGGAGGAAACAGCAGCUCUAACACAGUCUGCGAAUGACGGUACCUGAAGAAUAAGCACCGGCUAACUACGUGCCAGCAGCCGCGGUAAUACGUAGGGUGCGAGCGUUAAUCGGAAUUACUAGGCGUAAAGCGUGCGCAGGCGGUUAUACAAGACAGGCGUGAAAUCCCCGGGCUUAACCUGGGAAUGGCGCCUGUGACUGUAUAGCUAGAGUGUGUCAGAGGGGGGUAGAAUUCCACGUGUAGCAGUGAAAUGCGUAGAUAUGUGGAGGAAUACCAAUGGCGAAGGCAGCCCCCUGGGAUAACACUGACGCUCAUGCACGAA
Molecule: ribosomal RNA, 402 nt
Filed under: uncultured bacterium
Lineage: Bacteria
Description: bacterial SSU rRNA
Rfam family: Bacterial small subunit ribosomal RNA
Source: RNAcentral